GUGGGUGUACGAGACUUGAGAGGAUCUGUCCCUAGUACGAGAGGACCGGGAUGGACACACCUCUGGUGGACCUGUCAUGGCGCCAGCUGUGCAGCAGGGUAGCUAAGUGUGGACUAGAUAACCGCUGAAAGCAUCUAAGCGGGAAGCCUACCUCAAGAUAAGAUUUCCCUAGGACUUUAUGUCCUCUAAAGAGCCGUUCGAGACUAGGACGUUGAUAGGUUGGAUGUGGAAGCAUAGUGAUAUGUGAAGCUGACCAAUACUAAUUGCUCGU
Molecule: ribosomal RNA, 271 nt
Filed under: uncultured Pelagophyceae
Lineage: Eukaryota; Pelagophyceae
Description: partial Bacterial large subunit ribosomal RNA
Rfam family: Bacterial large subunit ribosomal RNA
Source: RNAcentral